RNAcentral lists this ribosomal RNA (966 nucleotides) under Mustelirallus albicollis. Its description in RNAcentral is "partial 16S ribosomal RNA". It matches the Rfam family "Bacterial large subunit ribosomal RNA", at positions 848 to 2521 of the family's 2925-position model. Lineage: Eukaryota; Metazoa; Chordata; Aves; Gruiformes; Rallidae. The record is from RNAcentral.
GCUGGUUGCCUGUGAACGAAUUUAAGUUCUCCCUUAAUUUUACCUCAAAGACUCGAACUACUUCCCCGUAGCAAAUUAAGAGUAAUUUAAAGGAGGUACAGCUCCUUUAAAAAAGAAUACAACCUCCCCCAGAGGAUAAGUACUUAACCUAACAAAAUUACUUGUAGGCCUUUAAGCAGCCAUCAACAAAGAAUGCGUCAAAGCUCUUCACCUUAAAAAUCCAAAAACAUAUACGACUCCCUCAUCCACAACAGGCUAACCUAUCAAAAUAGGAGUAUCAAUGCUAAAAUAAGUAACUAAGGAACACCCCUCUAAAGCACAAACUUACAUCCCACAUUAUUAACAGACUACUAAUACCACAACCACUACAAGACUAAAUAUUGAACAACUCUGUUAAACCGACCCAGGAGUGCUAAACUAGAGAGAUUUAAACCUGUAAAAGGAACUAGGCAAACCCAAGGCCCGACUGUUUACCAAAAACAUAGCCUUCAGCAAAACAAGUAUUGAAGGUGAUGCCUGCCCAGUGACACUAAGUUUAACGGCCGCGGUAUCCUAACCGUGCAAAGGUAGCGCAAUCAAUUGUCCCAUAAAUCGAGACUUGUAUGAAUGGCCAAACGAGGUCUUAACUGUCUCUUUCAGGUAAUCAGUGAAAUUGAUCUCCCUGUGCAAAAGCAGGGAUAAACCCAUAAGACGAGAAGACCCUGUGGAACUUAAAAAUCAACAGCCACUCUAAACUAAAUCAAAACCUACAGGCCCACUAUUAAUAGAUACUGACUUACAUUUUUCGGUUGGGGCGACCUUGGAGAAAAGUAUAUCCUCCAAAAACAGGACCACCUAUCCUGACCAAGAUCAACCAUUCAACGUGCUAACAGCAACCAGACCCAGCAUAGCUGAUCAAUGAACCAAGCUACCCCAGGGAUAACAGCGCAAUCCCCUUCAAGAGCCCAUAUCGACAAGGGGGUUUAC